ACCCGCAGCCGGCGGGCGCAGGAGGGGCAGAGGAGGCGGCGCUGCUAGCAGCACGGAGAGGAGCCAUGUCAAGAUAAAGCCACCAAGCCGCCGAGCCCCCCCAUCCCCGCCGCAGUGGACACGGUGAUCGGGCCGCCCGCUCUGCCGCUGCUCAGCCCCAGCCUGGUCCCCAUAGUCUAGCUCAGCGCCCCGGUGCCGGGGAGUGGGGAAAUGGUGGCGGAGAGAGGAAGAGGAGAAGGAGGAAGAGGCGACGGCGGCAGCAACGGAAGGAAGACGAGACGGCGGCGGGUCGCUGCGCUAGUGGCUCCCGAGGAGGGCGGCGGGCAUAGAGGCGCCGGAACGGUGGCGGACGGGGACAGCCCGAAGGAAGACGAGAGCUCUCUUCGCCCAGGAGACCCUGGGACGUCCUCGGAGGCGACGACAGGAGCGAGCGGGAGCACCGCGAUCUGCGUCUGGCUGUCGGCACGGGAGCGAAGGGCGAGAGCAGCCGCGCGGCAGGAGCGAGCGCUCAAAAUGGCAGCGCCUGAGUCACACAGGUGCCGCCCUGCCCGCACUGCGCAGGCGCGCUCGGCCGGCGCGUACCAAGCGCUCGGGCCCGCGGGGGAGAGGGAUCUGGGGUGCGGGUCGGGAGGCUCCGCGACAGCCUCGUUAUCCGCGGGCGCUCCCUUCUGGGAGGUAGAAAGAGGAGACAAUAAAUGUGGUAGGGCUCUUCCGAGCCGUCAGCACACCAAGAAGCCGGGUGGCUCUUGCCUGCUCCUUCGUCCCCCCGGCGCCCCGUGUCUCUGCCCUCGCGCCUCACGUGGCCCUGAGGGACGAGGACCCGGAUGGAGUUGCUCAACGCUGCGCUCGGGGCGGGGGGGGGAGGGGGGGAAGCGACACCCUCACACCGCUGCCACAUGGUGGGAGUUGCCGGAGGGAGACGGGUUGUGUGAGGCGUGUGGUGGUCUUCGUAUCGGUGUGCCCGCUUUUGUUUCAUCUCACUCACCGAGUUUUGGGUUCAGCUGAGAAUGCGUGUGCGAAGUAAACUGCACUGUAAAAAUAAGUUGACCACGAGGCGCCGGGCGGUGCCCACCUCCAGCGUGGCUCUGCAGCAGCGAAUGUGUGUGGCUGAGGUGUACCCUGAGAAGGGCUGCUCGCUUUUUUGUUGCUAUUCCGGAGACCCGAGCCUAAUCCUUGAAGAAAAACAGGCAUUUCUAUCUCCAAGCUAGAAGGAAAGGUGUACACCACCCAUUUCUCCCUUCCUCUGCCACAGAAGCAAAGGCACGCAGUCCACAGUCCACGUUCCCAGUUGCUCCUUUCAGUGUGGGCAGAAGGGUCACCUUAAUAGGCUGUGCCCUGGCUUCUGCCUGUCCCUUCCACAUUCCCGCUGGCGGUGUCCGUGACUCAUGAGAACAGAAACGGUGUUAAGAAAGAUUACAAGCAGAGGGCGAGUGCGGGCACUGCCCGUCUGGGCUGAUUGUGUUUCGGAGCUCACAGAGCACGGCAGUGGGCUCUGUCUGAUAAACACCAGUAAAUCAAGCAUUAGUCUCUAAGACAUAACAGGAAUGCUUUUGCGUAGAGAAAUGGCAAUGUUUCAUGUGAAAAGCAUUCCCUACAGCACGCUGUGGACAACUGUAUAUCCACCUUACAGCUAUUGCUACAGCACUGAGGCUUCAUUCAUCUCUUCCCUGUGUCAUGCCUGUGGUCAUAAAAUGGACCAUACAUC
Molecule: RNA transcript, 1705 nt
Organism: Gallus gallus (chicken)
Lineage: Eukaryota; Metazoa; Chordata; Aves; Galliformes; Phasianidae
Exons: 2
Source: RefSeq, a predicted model, not a curated record